Sander lucioperca (pikeperch) is the source of this 115-nucleotide long non-coding RNA. RefSeq lists it as uncharacterized. The record is from RefSeq and is a predicted model, not a curated record. NCBI's taxonomy places the organism in Eukaryota, Metazoa, Chordata, Actinopteri, Perciformes, Percidae. The transcript is spliced from 2 exons.
CCUGGAAAACAUUUAAAUGAUGAUGGAAAAAGGAGACAAGAACUUAAAAAACACAGUAGAAAGAAGGAAGGCAACACAAGGGCGACAAAAGGGACAAAAAGUAAGUGACAAACUU